RNAcentral lists this transfer RNA (73 nucleotides) under Myotis davidii. It matches the Rfam family "tRNA". Rfam says of the family: Transfer RNA (tRNA) molecules are approximately 80 nucleotides in length. Lineage: Eukaryota; Metazoa; Chordata; Mammalia; Chiroptera; Vespertilionidae. The record is from Rfam by way of RNAcentral.
GCUGGUGUGGCUCAGUGGAUAGAGCAUCAGCCUGAGGACUGAAGGGUCCCAGGUUCCAUUCCAGGCAGGGGCA